Molecule: RNA transcript, 1265 nt
Organism: Mus pahari (shrew mouse)
Lineage: Eukaryota; Metazoa; Chordata; Mammalia; Rodentia; Muridae
Gene name: histone-binding protein RBBP4 pseudogene
Exons: 1
Source: RefSeq, a predicted model, not a curated record
AUGGCUGACAAGGAAGCGGCCUUUGAUGACUUGGUGGAAGAAAGUGUGAUCAACGAGGAGUACAAAAUAUGGUAGAAGAACACUCCUUUCUUUAUGAUUUGGUGAUGACCCAUGCCAUGGAGUGGCCCAGCUUAACUGCUUCCAGAUGUGACUAGGCCUGAAAGGGAAGAUUUCAGCAUUCAUCCUCUUGUCCUGGGAACACACACGUCUGAUGAACAAAACCAUCUGGUGAUAGCCAGUGUCCAGCUCCCUAAUGAUGAUGCUCCGUUUGAUGUGUCCCAUUAUGACAGUGAAAAAGGAGAAUUUGGAGGUUUUGGUUCUGUCAGUGGAAAAACUGAAAUAGAAACCAAGAUCAACCAUGAGGGAGAAGUAAACAGGUCCCGGUACAUGCCUAAGAACCCCUGCAUCAUUGCAACAAAGACUCCAUCCAGUGAUGUUCAUUGUUUUGAUUACACAAAGAAUCCUUCUAAACCAGACCUUUCUGGAGAAUGCAACCCAGAUUUGCAUCUCUGUGGACAUCAGAAGGAAGGAUAUGGGCUUUCUUAGGAUCCAAAUCUCAGCCGGCACUUACUCAGUGCUUCAGAUGACCAUAUCUGUCUGUGGGACAUCAGUGCAGUUCCAAAAGAAGGAAAAGUAGUGGAUGCAAAGGCCAUCUUUACAGGGCAUACAGCAAUAGUAGAAGAUGCUUCCUGGCAUCUGCUCCCCAAGUCUCUGGGUCAGUUGCUGAUGAUCAGAAACGUAACGAUUUGAAACACUUGUUCAAACAAUACUUCCAAGCCAAGCCACUCGGUUGAUGCUCACAAGUUGAUGCUGAAGUGAAUUGCUUAUCUUUCAAUCCUUACAGUGAGUUCAUUCUUGCCACAGGAUUAGCUGACAAGACUGUUGCCUCGUGGGAUCGGAGAAAUCAGAAACUCAAGUUGCAUUCCUUUGAAUCCCAUAAGGAUGAAAUAUUCCAAGUUCAGUGGUCACCUCACAAUGAGACUGUCUUAGCUUCCAGUGGUACUGAUCUUAGGCUGAAUGUCUGGGAUCUAAGUAAAAUUGGAGAAGAGCAGUCCCCAGAAGAUGCAGAGGAUGGCCCACCAGAGUUGUUGUUUAUUCAUGGCGGGCACACUGCCAAGAUAUCUGACUUCUGGAAUCCCAAUGAACCUUGGGUGGCUUGUUCUGUAUCAGAAGACAAUAUCAUUCAAGAGUGGCAGAUGGCAGAGAACAUUUAUAAUGAUGAAGACUCUGAAGGAAGUGUGGCUCCAGAGGGACAAGGAUCCUAG